RNAcentral lists this ribosomal RNA (253 nucleotides) under uncultured bacterium. RNAcentral describes it as "partial 16S ribosomal RNA". It matches the Rfam family "Bacterial small subunit ribosomal RNA", at positions 524 to 776 of the family's 1533-position model. The record is from RNAcentral.
UACGGGGGGGGCAAGCGUUGUUCGGAAUUACUGGGCGUAAAGGGUCCGUAGGUGGCUUGCUAAGUCAGACGUGAAAUCCCUCGGCUUAACCGGGGAACUGCGUCUGAGACUGGCGAGCUUGAGUGCAGGAGAGGAACGCGGAAUUCCAGGUGUAGCGGUGAAAUGCGUAGAUAUCAUGAGGAAUACCAGAGGCGAAGGCGGCUACCUGGACAAUUGCUGACGCUCAGGCACGAAAGCGUGGGGAGCAAAAGGG